RNAcentral lists this microRNA precursor (136 nucleotides) under Podarcis lilfordi (Lilford's wall lizard). The record is from RNAcentral. Lineage: Eukaryota; Metazoa; Chordata; Lepidosauria; Squamata; Lacertidae.
GGUAAGGCCAGAGAGAGAGAGAGAGAGAGAGAGAGAGAGAGAGAGAGAGACACGAGGGAGGGAGAUGGAAAGGGAACAGUGUCUGUCGCUCUCUCUCUCUCUCUCUCUCUCUCUCUCUCUCUCUCUCUCUCGUCUC